AUUGAACGCUGGCGGCAGGCCUAACACAUGCAAGUCGAACGCGAAAACCCCUUCGGGGGCAAGUAGAGUGGCGAACGGGUGAGUAACGCGUAGGAAUCUACCCAGGAGUGGGGGGACAAACCCGGAGAAAUCCGGGCUAAUACCGCAUAUGCCCUACGGGGUAAAGUGGGGGACCUUUAGGGGCCUCACGCUUUUGGAUGAGCCUGCGUCGGAUUAGCUUGUUGGUAAGGUAACGGCUUACCAAGGCGACGAUCCGUAGCUGGUCUGAGAGGAUGACCAGCCACACUGGGACUGAGACACGGCCCAGACUCCUACGGGAGGCAGCAGUGGGGAAUAUUGGACAAUGGGGGCAACCCUGAUCCAGCCAUGCCGCGUGUGUGAAGAAGGCCUUCGGGUUGUAAAGCACUUUCAGUAGGGAAGAAAAGCCUAAGGUUAAUACCCUUGGGUCUUGACGGUACCUACAGAAGAAGCACCGGCUAAUUCCGUG
Molecule: ribosomal RNA, 487 nt
Filed under: uncultured bacterium
Lineage: Bacteria
Description: bacterial SSU rRNA
Rfam family: Bacterial small subunit ribosomal RNA
Source: RNAcentral